CUUCAUAAACCAAUUAAUGACAAUGGAGUUUGAGGCACAUAUCAUAUAACAAUGGCAGAUGUAUUGGAAAUUACUCUUAAGUAUCGAAGAAAAUGAAUUAAGGAGGUUGUACCACUUGGAACAUAGGGAUAUUCAAUCCCCAGCAUCUCUUCUUCACUGCAGGUUAGGGAUAAAAUCCUUCUUUGUUUUUUUUGCAAGAUACAUACAAAAUGGACUAUUUCGGAUAAGAUUGAAAAUAUGG
Molecule: unclassified non-coding RNA, 241 nt
Filed under: Hevea brasiliensis (rubber tree)
Lineage: Eukaryota; Viridiplantae; Streptophyta; Magnoliopsida; Malpighiales; Euphorbiaceae
Source: RNAcentral